UGGGCAUUAUCUGCAACAUGAAUCUCUUAGCAUUUCAAAUUAAUAUUCCUUUCGGACCAACUUUGUUAAAAGAGUAAUGCUGCAAACACACCGUUUAGGCACAAAAGGUCACAGUCCUGCACAAUAUUCCUUUGGUGGUGCAGCUGGGUCAACUAUUCAAUUGAAUGAUAUUGGGCAUGUUUCCCAUUUCUUCUAUAGAAACAAGUGGACUAUUUCUUUACAAAUUGUGCUCAUUUUCAUAUGUAGCAAUUCUGCCUAGAUCUCAGGUUCAUAAAUACCAUCAAUAUCUACCAGAGAAGAAGCAACAAAAGUGAUAAUAAAUAUAGAAGUUGCGGGUGUGUCAAAGCAAAGCCCUGUGUGCAGGGUUAUCUAACAAUUGAGAGUGGGUAUAUAUGUGCAUGUGUAUAUGUAUGAG
Molecule: long non-coding RNA, 415 nt
Filed under: Glycine max (soybean)
Lineage: Eukaryota; Viridiplantae; Streptophyta; Magnoliopsida; Fabales; Fabaceae
Description: long non-coding RNA (GMAX_LNC004056)
Source: RNAcentral